This 440-nucleotide ribosomal RNA is filed under the name uncultured Hyphomicrobiales bacterium. Its description in RNAcentral is "bacterial SSU rRNA". It matches the Rfam family "Bacterial small subunit ribosomal RNA", at positions 338 to 795 of the family's 1533-position model. Lineage: Bacteria; Pseudomonadati; Pseudomonadota; Alphaproteobacteria; Hyphomicrobiales. The record is from RNAcentral.
CCUACGGGGGGCUGCAGUGGGGAAUCUUGGACAAUGGGCGCAAGCCUGAUCCAGCCAUGCCGCGUGAGUGAAGAAGGUCUUCGGAUUGUAAAGCUCUUUUACCAGGGACGAUAAUGACGGUACCUGGAGAAUAAGCCCCGGCAAACUUCGUGCCAGCAGCCGCGGUAAUACGAAGGGGGCUAGCGUUGUUCGGAAUUACUGGGCGUAAAGCGCACGUAGGCGGGCUAUUAAGUCAGGGGUGAAAUCCCGGAGCUCAACUCCGGAACUGCCUUUGAUACUGGUAGUCUAGAGAUCGGAAGAGGUUAGUGGAAUUCCCAGUGUAGAGGUGAAAUUCGUAGAUAUUGGGAAGAACACCAGUGGCGAAGGCGGCUAACUGGUCCGAUACUGACGCUGAGGUGCGAAAGCGUGGGGAGCAAACAGGAUUAGAUACCCCAGUAGUC